AUCCAGUUGACGAAUCACAAAUAGGACGAAGACGCGCUCGUCCUGGAU
Molecule: non-coding RNA, 48 nt
Filed under: Schistosoma curassoni
Lineage: Eukaryota; Metazoa; Platyhelminthes; Trematoda; Strigeidida; Schistosomatidae
Source: RNAcentral